This is a non-coding RNA of Pelobates cultripes (western spadefoot toad), 428 nucleotides long. Lineage: Eukaryota; Metazoa; Chordata; Amphibia; Anura; Pelobatidae. The record is from the annotation of a GenBank genome assembly.
CCUCCCUCCCAGACCCUCCCACCUCCUGGACAGCAUCCAUUUUGAAGCUGCAUUCUUAGUGAACUGUCCAGGAGGUGGAAGGGUAUGGGAGGCAGGGUCUGCUGCUGAUUGGCUGGAAUGUGUCUGCUGACUGUGAGGUACAGGGUCAAAGUUUACUCAAUGAUGAGUCCGUGACGAACCAUUCGUGGCGAACCAUUUGCGAACCGUUCGGCGAACCGUUUGGGACAUCACUAUUCAAUAUCCAACCAGUACAAAUUCAUUACCACCUGAACAUGAGCCCUGAAUUUAACACAAUGACAUGGAAUGAUUGGUUUAUGUACAGUGCUGCGUGAAUUUGUUUGCGCUUUAUAAAUAAUAAUAAUAUGUAAGUUUUGCAUAGAAUGUUAAAAAAAAUGAAACAUUUUUGAACAGUAAAUGUGUAUAUUGUC